UACGGGGGGGGCAAGCGUUGUUCGGAAUUACUGGGCGUAAAGGGCUCGUAGGCGGCCAACUAAGUCAGACGUGAAAUCCCUCGGCUUAACCGGGGAACUGCGUCUGAUACUGGAUGGCUAGAGAUUGGGAGAGGGAUGCGGAAUUCCCGGUGUAGUGGUGGAAUGCGUAGAGAUCGGGAGGAACACCAGAGGCGAAGGCGGCGACCUGGACAGUGACUGACACUCAACUACGAAAGCGUGGGGAGCAAACAGG
RNAcentral lists this ribosomal RNA (253 nucleotides) under uncultured bacterium. RNAcentral describes it as "partial 16S ribosomal RNA". It matches the Rfam family "Bacterial small subunit ribosomal RNA", at positions 524 to 776 of the family's 1533-position model. The record is from RNAcentral.